This 748-nucleotide ribosomal RNA is filed under the name Salmonella enterica subsp. enterica serovar Virchow. RNAcentral describes it as "partial 23S ribosomal RNA". It matches the Rfam family "Bacterial large subunit ribosomal RNA", at positions 711 to 1455 of the family's 2925-position model. Lineage: Bacteria; Pseudomonadati; Pseudomonadota; Gammaproteobacteria; Enterobacterales; Enterobacteriaceae. The record is from RNAcentral.
AGACCCGAAACCCGGUGAUCUAGCCAUGGGCAGGUUGAAGGUUGGGUAACACUAACUGGAGGACCGAACCGACUAAUGUUGAAAAAUUAGCGGAUGACCUGUGGCUGGGGGUGAAAGGCCAAUCAAACCGGGAGAUAGCUGGUUCUCCCCGAAAGCUAUUUAGGUAGCGCCUCGUGAAUUCAUCUCCGGGGGUAGAGCACUGUUUCGGCUAGGGGGCCAUCCCGGCUUACCAACCCGAUGCAAACUGCGAAUACCGGAGAAUGUUAUCACGGGAGACACACGGCGGGUGCUAACGUCCGUCGUGAAGAGGGAAACAACCCAGACCGCCAGCUAAGGUCCCAAAGUCAUGGUUAAGUGGGAAACGAUGUGGGAAGGCCCAGACAGCCAGGAUGUUGGCUUAGAAGCAGCCAUCAUUUAAAGAAAGCGUAAUAGCUCACUGGUCGAGUCGGCCUGCGCGGAAGAUGUAACGGGGCUAAACCAUGCACCGAAGCUGCGGCAGCGACACUCAGGUGUUGUUGGGUAGGGGAGCGUUCUGUAAGCCUGUGAAGGUGGCCUGUGAGGGUUGCUGGAGGUAUCAGAAGUGCGAAUGCUGACAUAAGUAACGAUAAAGCGGGUGAAAAGCCCGCUCGCCGGAAGACCAAGGGUUCCUGUCCAACGUUAAUCGGGGCAGGGUGAGUCGACCCCUAAGGCGAGGCCGAAAGGCGUAGUCGAUGGGAAACGGGUUAAUAUUCCCGUACUUGGUGUUACU